RNAcentral lists this transfer RNA (83 nucleotides) under Actinomycetales bacterium. RNAcentral's name for it is "tRNA-Leu". It matches the Rfam family "tRNA". From Rfam's summary of the family: Transfer RNA (tRNA) molecules are approximately 80 nucleotides in length. Their secondary structure includes four short double-helical elements and three loops (D, anti-codon, and T loops). The record is from RNAcentral. Lineage: Bacteria; Bacillati; Actinomycetota; Actinomycetes; Actinomycetales.
GCCGAGGUGGCGGAAUGGUAGACGCGAUGGUCUCAAAAACCAUUGUCUGAAAGGGCGUGCGGGUUCGAGUCCCGCUCUCGGCA